RNAcentral lists this ribosomal RNA (253 nucleotides) under uncultured bacterium. RNAcentral describes it as "partial 16S ribosomal RNA". It matches the Rfam family "Bacterial small subunit ribosomal RNA", at positions 524 to 776 of the family's 1533-position model. The record is from RNAcentral.
UACGUAGGGUGCGAGCGUUGUCCGGAAUUAUUGGGCGUAAAGGGCUCGUAGGCGGUUUGUCGCGUCGGGAGUGAAAACCAGGUGCUUAACACCUGGCUUGCUUUCGAUACGGGCAGACUAGAGGUAUUCAGGGGAGAACGGAAUUCCUGGUGUAGCGGUGAAAUGCGCAGAUAUCAGGAGGAACACCGGUGGCGAAGGCGGUUCUCUGGGAAUAUCCUGACGCUGAGGAGCGAAAGUGUGGGGAGCGAACAGG